AGGCCAUGAGGAAUGAUUAGGGAUGCAUCAGAGGAGUGAUGUAAUCGGCUGUAUGGUAUAAGAAGAUAAGCACUUCCUGUAGGAUAAAUCAGAGGACACCAAGACUGGAAGGAGAAAUGGGCACAUGAUGCCAUCCCAGCCGAUGAAAUGUGAGGACAUUAUGUUUGAGGAUGUAAGCUUGAAGCUGCUUUGGAAUAUCAGAAACUAGCCUAAGGACAAACACCAACAUUCUGAAGACGGCAGAGCAAAAGAUGGAAAGAAGGAUCUCAUGUCUUGACAUUUUUAGAAUGAGCAUUGAGAGAUAGCUAAGUGAAAGGACCACAGAAGCAAGAACUUGAGAAGAUUAGCCCUGAGCUAACGUCCGUCACCAAUCCUCUUCUUUUUGCUGAGGAAGACUGGGCCUGAGCUAACAUCCAUGCCCAUCUUCCUCUACUCCAUAUGUGGGUUGCCUACCACAGCAUGGUUUUUGCCAAGCAGUGCCGUGUCCGCACCUGGGAUCCAAACCGGUGAACCCCGGGCCACCAAGAAGCGGAACGUGGGAACCUAACUGCUACGCCACCAGGCCGGCCCCCUACAAUAAUCUUGAUACAGAAGUACUGGGCCUGCAAUCAGACAGAUGGGGCCUACCAGCCUACUUGUUUUUUCUGCCACAUGUGCCACAACUGGUAGGCCGAUCAGAAUCAAAGGCAGAGCCCUGAAAUUCAGAUUUUGUUUCCUGAACCAUAUUUACCUCUCAGGCUUCUGCCAGGUCUUUACAUUUUAUAAGGCAAAAAUUGAAAGUUUCUGGCACACUCAGACAUGGGACCAGAAGACAAUAAAGCUAUUCAUCACUUUUGGCAUGAAUCUGUCUGUUCUUAGAAGAAUCUUAAAUUGUCAUUGACUUUAAGACAUUUUCAGCUUAAAAACCCUACAUCUAUGUAAGUCCAUGUGUUCUUUGUGUACUUUUGUGUUCUAUUCCAAACUCAGCCACAAAAGUAAACUUUUGGUAAAAAUGGUUCAGGUUCAGCAAAAUACCAAAUAGGAUUUGCCAAAAGUUAUUCUCCCUUAUAUUUUAAACCGCUGUGCAUUGUGGGGAAAACACAAUCCACUUGUCUCUAAUUCAUUUAUACUUAAUAAAGUAGAAAGUAAUAAAGUGAAAUAUUUUAUUAGUUGUCCACUGUCCGAACGGCCUUUUGAGAUUCUUGUAUAGUUUUCUUUUCUCUUGUCUUCCCUGUCUACGCUGACCUCAACUAAAAGACAUUUUCUAACUAGUGAUGCUUAAAUAGUAAAAGACUCCUUUCACUUUGAAACCUAGUAAAAUAUGCACCCUUGUUUCUCAUUUUUUAUCAAAGUAUUUAUGACCUGAUCAUUUGAAUGUAAUUUUCAAACACUUAACAAAGAUCUUACUGAAUUGUAUGGUUUUCUUUUGACGUUAAAACAGGGAGAAAAAGAACUCUAAGUAUGUUAAAACACUUCCAAGUUUUCCAGUUUGUUUCAGAAGAAAGGUUAAAUAAUUGCUAUCUUGUUCUUUUCACUAUUUGAUCCUACUUUAGAUAAUUUAAUAUAAAUGAACAUUUUAAGUUAAAACAUUUUUUGGAAGCAGCAUCCAAACCAUGAUGUGUCUUUUCCCGUAUCAAAUAUUCAUAUAUGUGAUUUGAUAUGGAAGAGUUGGCUUUUCCUGACCACUCCUCCCACCACAAUCAAACACACCCAAUCCCUAUUAUCCAUAUCUGAUUUCCUUUUGAAAAUAAUGUAAUACAUCUGCUGUAAUCCUGGGGAGAUGUGGGGGAGACGUAAAUUCUGAUAAAAGUCAGACAUGUUGAUGACAGUCUGCAGCCCGAUACACUUGAAAAUACUGUGCAAGAUGCAAAGGAAAUUUCGUGAAAUGAUAACCCAUGGAAGAGCACUAUAUGUGAAGAGCAUCCAGGGAGCUACAGAGUCAGAGUGCUACAGCAUGAGGAUAGAGACUGUUUUCCAGAGAAGUAAAUUCCCUAACUUCAAUCCCUAUGUCAAACGGACUGAUCCAUGUCAGAAACAUUUUCUCUCUAAACUGAAUCUCUCAUACUGUUAUUAAAUUCUUUUAUUUCAUCAAGUCCUCUGUAAACAUUCAAUCGGCUGGAUUCCAAACUCUCCUGUAGUAAUGUAUUUUGUUCUUGAAAACUGUUAAUAAACCUUAGGACCUUAGAAAGGGUGUAUAGAAAUGAGACAUUGAGAACCACUUCAUAAUGGAAUCUACUAGAGAGCAAAGCACAGCUUAUUGGGUAAUUACAUGGAUGCUGGAGGCAGGUGGCAUGGGUUUAAAACUUUACUCUGGUAUUUUCUACACAUUCUCUUUGGGUAAGUUACCUAAGCUCUCUGUGCCUCAGUUUACUCAAAUAAAAAGACUAUAAAUAGUCCUUACUUGAUAUAGUUGUUGUAGAAUUUAAUAAAUUAAUUCCUAUAAAGCAAAUAUAUCUCCUUCACAACCAGCUCAUCUCUCAUCUAUUGCACUCUCUAUUACCUUUCCAGAGCCCAACGCCUACUUCUUUGUCAACAUUUGCCCAACAAAAUCUUCAAAACCAAGCUACAUAUCUACCUGCUCCUGGAAGAGCUCUGAGAUUAAUCCAAUUUAGCUCCAGUGUCUCCCACUCAGUCUUACCUCAGGACUCCAGUAGUGAAUAAACUAUUGUUAUAGGAAUUUAUUGUUCUGAAAUCAUUUCAUCCCACUUUAUAUGUCUGAUUUUUCUCUCUCCAAUGAGAAAGCCAGCUCUUGAGAGUAGAAAUAUUUUAUAUCUCUUUCAUUACUUGCUCCACUCUACCUCUUUAUCUAUACCACAUAUACAUACCGCAAUAUUCAAAAUAAUUUCUUUAGUUCAUUCAUUUCUUAAGAAAAUGUCACUAAAAGAGUUUAUUUCUUAACUUAAACAAAUUU
Equus caballus (horse) is the source of this 2890-nucleotide long non-coding RNA. NCBI's taxonomy places the organism in Eukaryota, Metazoa, Chordata, Mammalia, Perissodactyla, Equidae. The record is from Ensembl.